This 139-nucleotide small nucleolar RNA is filed under the name Leersia perrieri. RNAcentral's name for it is "snoRNA snoZ247". It matches the Rfam family "Small nucleolar RNA Z247". Rfam says of the family: Z247 is a member of the C/D class of snoRNA which contain the C (UGAUGA) and D (CUGA) box motifs. Most of the members of the box C/D family function in directing site-specific 2'-O-methylation of substrate RNAs. The record is from Rfam by way of RNAcentral. Lineage: Eukaryota; Viridiplantae; Streptophyta; Magnoliopsida; Poales; Poaceae.
AGAGUUGAUGAUGAAGAUUUGAUCUCAUACAUCAUCGCCGGCCUAGAUGAAGACUACGAACCGGUGAUCUCCUCAAUUGUUGGGAGGUCCGAUCUGGUCUCAGUUGGCAAGGCGUAUUCCCAGCUUCUCAGCUUCGAGC